Prinia subflava (tawny-flanked prinia) is the source of this 4407-nucleotide long non-coding RNA. RefSeq lists it as uncharacterized. The transcript has 4 exons. The record is from RefSeq and is a predicted model, not a curated record. NCBI's taxonomy places the organism in Eukaryota, Metazoa, Chordata, Aves, Passeriformes, Cisticolidae.
CUUUUCAGCAAGGUCUGAGAUGCUGGUAAUGUAGGUUUUAUGCCUGAUCUACACAGGUUACUUACUUCCUUAUCUUCAUUUAUUCUUUUAAAGAUACAUCACUUGAACUUUAUCCUGUGGCUUUCUUGCCUAACAUCAGUCAGGAAAACGUUUGAAAAUUAAAGAAUUAAAUAUUUUUGGAUAGUAGGUAAUCUCUUUUGCAAGAGAUGAAGAGAGUUAAACCCUGCAGGGCUGUCACUUGAUGACACAAACCCCUCUUCUGAAAGUUGUACACACAUGCAGCCUGGCCUGCGCUCAAUCUCUUGACUGCCAUGAAACUAGCAACAUUAAUUAGCAUUAAAAAAUUGUAAUCUAAUUCUGAAAAAGAAAAAAAAAACCAAGAAAAAAGGCAAAUACUAAACAGCUCUCAUUUACGAGAGCAUUUUUAUUUUCCAGGAGACGUUAGUUUAAUUCUCCAGUUACUCUCACUAUACCCAGCAACUUUUGAUCUCCCCCCACAUAAUACAGCACAGGAGAGUGUCUCUUUAAAUUCAUUUAUAAAAUAAUUCAGGACUGUGGGUGUCUUUGAUCUGUUCCUCUCUGCUAAAGUACAGAAGAGAAGAACAUGUCGCUUAGCAACCCCUCUUAGCCAGCACUGGGGGAGGCAGGAGGAAUGGAUGGUCCAGAGCCACAGAAGGGGAGGAUUAAGCCCCUAAAUUUCGGACAAUCUUUCUCAAACCUGAAGCAAGCAAACAUGGUUGCUUGCAGAAUUGGGUAAUCUCACUUUUUCCUUUUUUUCAUAUCCACUUAUGGUCUAUUAAUAGCAAUCUUCCAACCAAAUGGGAAAAUAUGGCAUGGGAUGAACAACACAGGCUUCCACAGCUUCAGGGCUGGGUUGGAGGUGAAGAGAACCUGAAGUUUAAUUUUAAACCAGCUCAAUAGAUUUUAAAUAGAAUUAGUGUUGUCAAUACAAAUGGUAAUUAAUUUCAUACCGCAGUUUUAAUCCUAACACUUCAAUUAAAUUUAGUGUGGGUCUUAUCCUGUUGUACAAUUGGACAGCCCAGGUGUCCCCAGCCUGACGUGUUCUGGGUCACUUACCUUGCUGUAAAUAAACCCCAGGACUCUCUGAGCGUUACCAGGCUGUGAUUCACUGGUAACUAGGUAACAUCUUAGAGCUGCAAGAAAACACCAGUUAGGGAAGUAACUUUGCACUGAAGCAGAGGAGCAGCCCUCAGCCCUUCCUGCAGCUGCAGGGUGGUGACUUCCCAAGAGCCAUGGCAGGAGCAGGCACCAGCUCAAACCCUCCUGCUCAGUCCCUUGCUGACCAGCGCUGGCCUAGAGCAGCCUUGAUUGAUUUUUUUUCCCAAAUAUCAAAUCCCACAGCAAUGUAUGGCUGAGUUAUGGAAGAAAAAAUUAUGCUAAAAACCUGUGUCAGAGGAAGAGCAGCAGAACUACCCACUUCAGCAUCUCACACAGGCAAAAAAUUGCUCAGAAUGAAAUACAGGUUCCCGGAUCAGGAUGAUGCAUGGAAAAAGCACGCAGAUGAGGCAUCGUUUGCCCAAACAUGUCAUCAGAAACAGACUUCCUAAAGGGGACUUUUAAGGCCUGGUCAACCUAUGCCUGGUACUACUGAAGACAGCAAGAAUCUCACUGCAGAUUUCAGGGAGAGCAAGCGCAGACCCUGGGAUUGAAGGAACAUCAUUUCCAUUCACUUUGUGUUCCAGGAGAACCCACAAACAGUUCUUGAGGCUCCAGGGUAGACUGAGGAGGGAGUAAAAUGAGUGAAACAAAACAAAAGAGAAGGGUAUCGGGACUGAGGCACUUCCAUGUCACCAAAGUCAACAAUGGACAAAGGUGCAUUUCUGCAAGAACCUCCUCAACAACAGAAGGACGUGCUGCAGGUGAUGUUCAGGAGCCAUUUCACCAGCCCACGAGGAUACAGGAUGAGGAUAUCUGCAUCCAGCUGAGCUGUGCCAAAACUACCUUCCUGCCUCUCAUACCUUUCUUGGCAUGCUGCAAAUCCAUGUUGGGUUCAAGACUGCUUGAAAUGUGUGUGGCUGGCAAUGCCAGCCCACGGCUGGUGAACAUCCUACCCACUGCUGGUGCUUCAGGAGCCCUUUCUGCAGCACCUGCCUCCUUGGGACAGGGGCUGGGGCACACAGUAGCUCAUCACUUCCUUGUCAGAGCACAGCUGAUAUGUUGGUGGGCUAACUUCAACAAUUUCACUGCAGGAGAGCUUUAAUUCUGGCUACUGUAAGAAUAUGGACAAAUUUCUCAGCCUGCUUCAGUCUAUGAACUGCGGAUACAUCUACAGGUUCUUUGAUCCUGGAUACAAAACCCACCACUGCUCUCUGUCUUUACCCUCCCCAUUCCCUGCAAUUUGAGAAAGUUUGCCUAGAAAGGGUAAGAAAACGUUCAGCUGCUGCAGGUCCUCCUAAGCCUACCUCCCCGCUUGUUUGUUUGUUUGUUUAAUUUGCUACAUAUGAUUUACUCCACUGAGUUUCUGCCAGGCAGAAUUUACAACUCAGAGUACCCCGUGAGUGCUGCAGCACUGCCAGGAGGUGAAUACCACCAGCCUUAAUGGCUGUUUUUCCAUAGAACAGGUAUAGCAGGCUAUUUUGGGCUAUAAAUGGAAAUCAGAAAAUUCGAUUUUCUUUCCCUGCUAGUUCUUCUCCUGGGAAUUUUAGUCCUUUCCUCUGUGCACAUGCUUUAGCUGUUGGUGGCAGCAUAUUGGUGAUACGGGUCUUUCAGAGCAUCAGUCACUGGAGCCUGUUCUGAAGUACUGCAAUGCCAGUGAACAUGGGAAAUCAUUCCCACUGGUACCAACAUGCUGUUUGUUGGUCUAAAAUCACAUAUUAGAUCAAAACCAGAUCAGGAUAGCCUGGUUUACCCCAUGAUUCCGGUGACAGAUGAUUCAAAAUUCAGGUUUACAAAGCAAGUAAAGGUAUUUCCCAGCCACCUGCACUUCCUUUUCUAAUAGUGGUAAUCCAUUUGCAAUUCUCAGUUUUGCAGAUUGCCUGUUACCUCCUGUGGAUGAUCAAAGUCUAGUUAUGAAUGAAUGCACUCUGGAUUUGCAGUCCCAGUAUCAGGGAUGUCUGGCUUUGCCUUCAGUUUAUAGCACAGACACUGCCAUCCAAAUCAUCCAUAUCAUAUGGAUCUAAUGCAAGAUCUUUGCAUCGCCUUUAAAUCUGAGAAGUUCUAAUUAUCAUUCUUCUAUCAUCAGUUCUACCAUUUUUCAUAAAUUAUGCUUUUUUUUCCCUCUGGAAAAAGCUUUGCAUUAUGAGGAAUUCAAGAGAUUAGGUUUUGCUACAGCAACAUGCAGAUCUCAGAACUUGGGAACAAACCCUUAGCAUCACUUGCACUUUUCUGUUGCCCCUAAUGGUAAUCAGAAGCGUUUUCUGGGCUAGAAAAUAUCCUCAUGAUGACAGGAUGAUAGUAGGCCUGCAUCCCCUUGUGUGAUUAAAUACUAAUCACAGGAGUCCUUAGAUAAAGUGAAAAAAGAAUUAUCCUUUGAUAUUUUAGUCAAUUGUAGUACUACUGAGAAGCACUCUCUUCCUGCCUAUAGAAAUAAAAAACCCAUUUAACCUUGGAAAAACAUGAUUCAUGUUAUUUUUUUCACUGAAGGAAAAGGAGUGGGCUUUUUUGGGUACAAACCUAUUCAGUGAAAGAUAUCAGUCAACAGGGGUCAGCUCUGGCACUGAGAGAAGACGAAGGAUUUUGAGAGAAUAUGUGAAAAAAACCAGAUGGCUUUAACUAAAUUAAUGGAAAAUAUGUGUUUUACCCAGCCAUCACUUGAUAAUCCUGACAUCCCAAACUGUCGUCACAGACACGUUCGCAUUCUUUUAGUCUUCCACUUGGCUUUGUCAUUUACAGCAUUCACAUGCUUGACUUCAAGCAACCUGAUGCUGUUCACUGGUUACUUGGUUUGACAUUAAGAUAUCACUAAAAUAGAAAAAAACAUUUAGAAAGUUCGAGGACUGUUACCCAAUAAAAAUUCUCAGAGCACAGUGAACUGAACUCUUGGAUUUACUUUGAAGAGAUCUGUCCCUGCCUGUCACUCCUUGCCCACCACCAGCUACAGCCACCCUUGCUGAUGCUGCUUCCUCUGCACGUUUCUCGUGGAGGCUCCUUUCUUUGUGCAGGAUUUAUUGAGAUGUCUUCGUCCUCAUCCCUCCCUCGCUGUCCUUCAGACACAGCCGGAGGCGCAGCUGUUACCUGUGCCUGCCGCCUUGCUCUGUCACCAGCUGGAAGCCUUUAAAGUGUUGAUGUAAUGGCUGAGCCCAGCCCUUCAUCCCAGCUGGCUCUGGAGAGCCCCGUGUCCCAGUGCUCCUUUCUCCCGGAGCCGCUGCGGUUCCUCGGAAUGAGAGGAGCAGCAGCGAACAGACGGCAGCUGUGAGGACACGGCCCUCAGCCAGCAGCAUCCUGACC